Molecule: unclassified non-coding RNA, 339 nt
Filed under: soil metagenome
Description: partial contains 5.8S ribosomal RNA, internal transcribed spacer 2, and large subunit ribosomal RNA
Rfam family: 5.8S ribosomal RNA (bases 1-120)
Source: RNAcentral
GAUGAAGAACGUAGCGAAAUGCGAUACGUAGUGUGAAUUGCAGAAUUCAGUGAAUCAUCGAAUCUUUGAACGCACAUUGCACCUCUCGGUAUGCCGGGAGGUAUGCCUGUUCGAGCGUCAUUUGUACCCUCAAGCUCUGCUUGGUGUUGGGUGUUUGUUCCGCCUCUGUGUGUGAACUCGCCUCAAAACAAUUGGCAGCCGGCGUACUUGUUUCGGAGCGCAGCACAUUUUGCGAUCCAGAUCAACGUACAGCGGCAUCCAAGAAGCCUUAUUUAACGCUCUUGACCUCGGAUCAGGUAGGGAUACCCGCUGAACUUAAGCAUAUCAAUAAGCGGAGGA